Molecule: non-coding RNA, 138 nt
Organism: Moorella thermoacetica ATCC 39073
Lineage: Bacteria; Bacillati; Bacillota; Clostridia; Neomoorellales; Neomoorellaceae
Source: Rfam
AAAUAUUGACAUCUCCGAGCCGGUUUAACCUAAGGAGCGAUCUAUGGUGGCCGGCCUGGGCUGAGAGGCCCACGGGGUAUACCGGGAAACUGGUAUGCCUUCCCAGGUUUGAGUAUAAGGAGGUGGCUGAUUAGUGGC